UGUGCACACAAAUAAUUACCUCAAACACCA
This 30-nucleotide non-coding RNA is filed under the name Rattus norvegicus (Norway rat). Lineage: Eukaryota; Metazoa; Chordata; Mammalia; Rodentia; Muridae. The record is from RNAcentral.